This 626-nucleotide long non-coding RNA is filed under the name Phoenix dactylifera (date palm). RNAcentral describes it as "long non-coding RNA (PDAC_LNC020386)". The record is from RNAcentral. Lineage: Eukaryota; Viridiplantae; Streptophyta; Magnoliopsida; Arecales; Arecaceae.
GAACACAUAAGAAAGCUCCAAUACAAUUGACAAACUAAUUAUUAGAUUAGGUGAUUUUCAUUAAUUUUUGACCACUUGAAUUGUUACUCCUCUUCAUGCACAUAAACUUAUAUUUCCAUGCAAAUAUGUGACAUAAUAAAUAUAGACCUCCUUUGCCAUUCAGUGAUCUCUAAGACUGUGUGGUCUCGUACUCAUAAAAUGCUACUCUUUCUAGUGCUUACAAUUUCCAUGCAGGUUUGAAGGACUUUUUUGGUUCUUCAGGCAUUUAAAUUUUCCUUUUUUACCAUAUAAUGCUAAUUUAAAAGAUGAUAAGGGUUUUCAGUGUGAUUACUAUCGUGAUAUUUUUCUGCAGAACAAGAAUACAACCUCCAUUAUGUUUGUUUCUGCUGGAGUGGUUGAACUUAAACAUAAUAGACCAAUUGACCUGCUAAGUUGGAUUGAUAAGUUCUUUUUUCUUAAAAAAAAGAAAUCUUGGGAAUCAGAGUGCUUACAUCUACAUAUUACAGUUAAAAUUCUCAAGGCAUUUGAGGACAUCAAAGUUAUAAACAUUGAUGCAUAACAAUUAACUUCUGAAGUUGUAUAUCUACAUUAUAGUAAGGGGUAGUAUUUGAGCAAAGUGAAUGUUC